Long non-coding RNA from Homo sapiens (human), 849 nucleotides. Ensembl annotates it as ribosomal protein L23a pseudogene 7. Its record names the gene RPL23AP7. The record is from Ensembl. Lineage: Eukaryota; Metazoa; Chordata; Mammalia; Primates; Hominidae.
GGCUGUGGGUGUGGUACCGAGGCUUCAGCGGGUGCCGCCCGCCUAGAGGGAGUGGAGCGGUGAGCACGUCAGGGGUGGGGGGCGCAGGUCAAGCUUUCACCAGUUUUUAAUUCUUUGAUGGGGUAAAUUUGAGCAAUUUUCUCGACUUGUCGACAUUCGUUAUUAACUGAGCAGGAAUCAGGAGAGGAACCCGGUCCUCUCCACACAGCCCAGCAGGUACGCCGCCCAUGUGCCUGUGGAGAAGAGAGGUUCCUGUGGGGCAGACAGAGAGCCUACGACUAGAUUUGCAUCUUUACGUCCUGCGCGGAGGCUGCUACACACAUGCAGAAGUCAUGCUGGUGGCCUGGACAGUGAAGGGAGAGAAGUGGAUUUGGGAGACAUUUAGGAGCAGAAGAAUCCCAGACUUCUUAGAGAACCCAGUGACUUUUUGCACCUUAAAUCUGUGAAAUCCUCAUGUUUUCUUCUGCCGUAUCCAUAGUUCAAACAAAGAUGAGGCAAAGCUAGAUGCAUUCCUGAAGGAACCCAAGAAAUUCCUCUCUUUAUUUCUCUGGAAUGAAAUGAAUUCUCUAGACCACCAGUUCUAACCUUCAAAAACCAAACCUGUUUGUGAGAUCUCCUUCAAAUACUACUGUAGACCCCAGUGUUUAUUCAUUAAAUUUUUAAAAUAUUUGUUUUAUUUGGAAUCCAUGUAUUUGUAAUUUUAGUGUUUGUAUUAAUAUAAGGGAGAAAUGUUUAAAUCUGUCUAUGCCAUAUGUGCCUCUGGCUUAUUGCCCAAUUAAUUGUAGACUCAGGCUAAACUUUGGUUUCUGUCUUUAAUUUUUGUCAGAAGAAAUAUAACUGAUCUCAAAA